CCUACGGGUGGCAGCAGUAGGGAAUAUUGCUCAAUGGGGGAAACCCUGAAGCAGCAACGCCGCGUGGAGGAUGAAGGUUUUCGGAUUGUAAACUCCUUUUGUUAGAGAAGAUAAUGACGGUAUCUAACGAAUAAGCACCGGCUAACUCCGUGCCAGCAGCCGCGGUAAUACGGAGGGUGCAAGCGUUACUCGGAUUCACUGGGCGUAAAGGGCGCGUAGGCGGGAUAGCAAGUCAGAAGUGAAAUCCUAUGGCUUAACCAUAGAACUGCUUUUGAAACUGUAAGUCUAGAGUGUGGGAGAGGUAGGUGGAAUUCUUGGUGUAGGGGUGAAAUGCGUAGAGAUCAAGAGGAAUACUGAUUGCGAAGGCGACUUACUAGAACAUAACUGACGCUGAUGCGCGAAAGCGUGGGGAGCAAACAGGAUUAGAUACCCCUGUAGUC
This 440-nucleotide ribosomal RNA is filed under the name uncultured bacterium. RNAcentral describes it as "partial 16S ribosomal RNA". It matches the Rfam family "Bacterial small subunit ribosomal RNA", at positions 338 to 795 of the family's 1533-position model. The record is from RNAcentral.